This 397-nucleotide transfer-messenger RNA is filed under the name Salibacteraceae. Its description in RNAcentral is "CAJXZP01 sp024398135 Standard tmRNA". It matches the Rfam family "transfer-messenger RNA". From Rfam's summary of the family: Bacterial tmRNA, also known as 10Sa RNA or SsrA, is named for its dual tRNA and mRNA-like properties. Its role is to liberate the mRNA from a stalled ribosome. Lineage: Bacteria; Pseudomonadati; Bacteroidota; Flavobacteriia; Flavobacteriales. The record is from RNAcentral. RNAcentral also lists the same sequence under 1 other name.
GGGGUCGACUGGUUUUGACAGCGAGGUCAACCGUUUUGUAAGCAAGUGGAGCCUUGUGGUAUGGCUCUUUAAUUCAAUACUGCAAAUUUUAACAGGCGAAAAUAAUUACGCUCUUGCUGCCUAAUUCACCAAGUGAAUUACGCUUCAUCCACUCUACAAGGUAGGGGGACGAGAUGCCCUGAGAUAGACCCUGCCUAGCGGUUUAUUUCACCCAGGGUACCAUUAAAGUUGGGUUAGGAUUUGUUCGGCUUCUGUUCAAAUUCGAGAUUAACGAAGCUAAGUUUUAAGUGGGCUGUUAGUGGCCAGCUUAUUUUCGAAAAUUAAGCACUGACUAAACUUGUAGAAAGCUCAAUGUUUGCUUGUUUGGACGAGGGUUCGAAUCCCUCCGACUCCACAG